This 579-nucleotide ribosomal RNA is filed under the name uncultured bacterium. RNAcentral's name for it is "bacterial SSU rRNA". It matches the Rfam family "Bacterial small subunit ribosomal RNA", at positions 337 to 907 of the family's 1533-position model. The record is from RNAcentral.
UCCUACGGGAGGCAGCAGUAGGGAAUCUUCCGCAAUGGACGAAAGUCUGACGGAGCAACGCCGCGUGAGUGAUGAAGGUUUUCGGAUCGUAAAACUCUGUUGUUAGGGAAGAACAAGUUGGGUAGUAACUGACCCAACCUUGACGGUAUUUAACCAGAAAGCCACGGCUAACUACGUGCCAGCAGCCGCGGUAAUACGUAGGUGGCAAGCGUUAUCCGGAAUUAUUGGGCGUAAAGCGCGCGCAGGUGGUUUCUUAAGUCUGAUGUGAAAGCCCACGGCUCAACCGUGGAGGGUCAUUGGAAACUGGGAGACUUGAGUGCAGAAGAGGAAAGUGGAAUUCCAUGUGUAGCGGUGAAAUGCGUAGAGAUAUGGAGGAACACCAGUGGCGAAGGCGACUUUCUGGUCUGUAACUGACACUGAGGCGCGAAAGCGUGGGGAGCAAACAGGAUUAGAUACCCUGGUAGUCCACGCCGUAAACGAUGAGUGCUAAGUGUUAGAGGGUUUCCGCCCUUUAGUGCUGAAGUUAACGCAUUAAGCACUCCGCCUGGGGAGUACGGCCGCAAGGCUGAAACUCAAAGG